CAGAGAAUAGUUUAUUAAAAAUAAUAAUUUUGGAGAUUAUUGAUAGGAAGAAUUUCUUUUCUCUGA
Molecule: transfer RNA, 66 nt
Filed under: Epacanthaclisis banksi
Lineage: Eukaryota; Metazoa; Arthropoda; Insecta; Neuroptera; Myrmeleontidae
Description: tRNA-Pro
Source: RNAcentral